ACAGGCCUGCCCGAGGCUCCCGGGUGGCAGGAGCGUGCACGUGGUCACACGGAGGAGGGCGUUCUGGUUGACCGAGUGAAUUCACUCUCGCAGAAGGCGGAUGUGGAAACGAGGCACACGACACCCGUUCACGGUUUCUAGGGAACCACAUGCACGAAUCACAACAUCGGAGGCCGGCUGGAUAAAUGACAACACAGGACUCUACGUAGCAGACUCGGUGUUUGUGUCCAAAACAGUUUCAGGAGGAGGAAGAGUGGGUUUAAAAGUUCAGGUCACACCACCGGUUUGGGGACUUCGUUUUCCUUAUCACAUUUCUCUCCCUCGGUGUACGCGAACGAAAUUUCAAGUU
This is a long non-coding RNA of Herpailurus yagouaroundi (jaguarundi), 349 nucleotides long. RefSeq lists it as uncharacterized. NCBI's taxonomy places the organism in Eukaryota, Metazoa, Chordata, Mammalia, Carnivora, Felidae. The record is from RefSeq and is a predicted model, not a curated record. The transcript has 2 exons.